AUUGAACGCUGGCGGAAUGCUUUACACAUGCAAGUCGAACGGUAGAGGGGGCAACCCCUCGAGAGUGGCGAACGGGUGAGUAAUAUAUCGGAACGUGCCCAGUCGUGGGGGAUAACGUAGCGAAAGUUACGCUAAUACCGCAUACGAUCUAAGGAUGAAAGCGGGGGAUCGCAAGACCUCGCGCGAUUGGAGCGGCCGAUAUCAGAUUAGGUAGUUGGUGGGGUGAAGGCUCACCAAGCCAACGAUCUGUAGCUGGUCUGAGAGGACGACCAGCCACACUGGCACUGAGACACGGUCCAGACUCCUACGGGAGGCAGCAGUGGGGAAUUUUGGACAAUGGACGCAAGUCUGAUCCAGCCAUUCCGCGUGCAGGAUGAAGGCCCUCGGGUUGUAAACUGCUUUUGUACGGAACGAAAAGGUCUCUCUUAAUACGGGGGGCUCAUGACGGUACCGUAAGAAUAAGCACCGGCUAACUACGUGCCAGCAGCCGCCGUAA
Molecule: ribosomal RNA, 496 nt
Filed under: uncultured bacterium
Lineage: Bacteria
Description: partial 16S ribosomal RNA
Rfam family: Bacterial small subunit ribosomal RNA
Source: RNAcentral